RNAcentral lists this long non-coding RNA (7340 nucleotides) under Malus domestica (apple). Its description in RNAcentral is "long non-coding RNA (MDOM_LNC017956)". Lineage: Eukaryota; Viridiplantae; Streptophyta; Magnoliopsida; Rosales; Rosaceae. The record is from RNAcentral.
CCAAUUUAGAAUGAUAUUAAAAUAUUGAGGGUUUUUUUAGAUACUUAACAAAAGAAGGGAUCAAACAACCAAACAAAAAGAGGCAGACAGUAUUUCCCUCUUAUUAAGUUACAAAUUGAAAAAAAGAACUUGUAAAGAGAGUUGUGGCUAAUUAAGGGGAGGCUUCAUUUCUGAUUUUAUAGCAGCAACCAACUGAUCAUAAGCUUCUCCCCAAGCAUUCUUCAUCUCCGGUGACCACAUUUCCGGUAAGGCCUCCUUUAUGGUUUCCAACAAUGCGAACUUGGUCACCUAUAUAUAAAAUAAAUAAUUGUUCGAUAAGGCACAUAUUUGGAAAAGAAGAAUUCGAACCCAAAACUUUGCGUACAAGGAAAAACGCUGUUCUUAUUUAAUUAGAUAAAAUCCCUUGAAGCCUGAUAAUUUAUACCUCAUAAUGUUCAUCUACCACUCCAGACUUGAAGUGGACACCACCUAAUCUUUUCAAGGUUGACUCUCUCACUGUAACCUUGCCUGCUUUCCUGAGUUGAACUGCAGAUUCACAAGUCUGGAACACAAAUGAAGGAUUAACGAUCGAACCCAAGUUAAUUAUAAUUUACUUUAUAUGUGAUAGUAUCACACUAGCAGCUUAAUUAUAUUUACCAUAACAAAUACAGACAUGGCGUGAGGCUUGAGCUUUGGGUUCUUCUCAAGAGGAAUGUCAGAGUCCCUCAAGAAAGAGAACAGCUUCUGAGCUGAUGGUGCAAUUUCAAAGAUCCUGCAAAUUGAAGUCCCAGUUGGUUCAAAACCUUUCUUCUGACAUCAUAUAUAAACUAUGAAGUGCAGAUGAAAAAAAAAGAACGAAUCAGAAAAAUUGGGUGCUAUUUUAUAGUCGGCUAAAUUUGCAAGUUUAUGUAAAACGGACUUACUUUAAGAAGAACUUAAGGCCCAAUUCAGCAGCGUUCUUCUUCAUCACACCCCAUGACUUCACCACCAGUGUUUCCUGUUCUUCUGUGAAAACUUUGCCUUCCAUGCUAUAACAAUUUAAUUGUCCCAAAAAGUGAAGCUCUAAGAAUUUGAACUUAAAUAAUUGAAAAUUGUAUCGAGGAAAUUUCCAAUGAGAUCAAUAUUCUUUGGCAGAGAAUAUAUAUAGUAAAACCCAGUGCGGAUUAAGAUUUAGCACCCAACUUUUUGUGACAACUCUUCAGGACACUGGAGAGCCAUUCUCCCUAUGGAUUUCAAUUUUUAGCACCCAACUUUUGAUUAUGUAGCACAUGUCCCAAAACCAGGGGCUGUCUGAGGCAGUAUUUGGAGAACAUGGUUUUAGGUGGAUGAGAAUCCUCUCUGUAUCUCCUUUGCGAGGAUUCUAAGGAUCCUCAUAUCCUAUUCGUUUAUCGUACAUCGUACGGUCAUUUUUUGUUAAGUAUUAUUUGUGUUUAAUUUAAAAAAAAAUCAUAAGAUUUCUGACCAUUCGAUAUACGAUAAAUGAUGUGAGGAUCCAAAUCCGUUUUGGGUUUUUCAUCUUCAGGUCUUGGCAACUAAAGUGACGCAAGCCACAACAUCGGAUUUGGAUCGAGGAAGGCAAAAUUUUUGUCUCAACUUUAUUGCCCAAUACCUUUGAGGCUAAUAACAUAUUUGUCAACAACGACUAAUUAAUCAUAUCUUAGUUAGGCUGCGCAAGCAUUGUACGAGGUCCUUUGCUUGGCAUGGCAGACGCAUUGGCCUUUGUCUUGGCAUAUAAAAGUGGGAAGUGGUUUGAAGAGUUGUCUUUGCACAAAAAGACAAAAAUAUAGUAUUGUCAAAACCCUUCAGGGUUGGGGAGAGCCAAAAACUAAGCUUUGUAUUUCAAUGUUGGUAGGCAACGACCAAUGCUCCAAUGAAAAUGUAAAAAUUGUAGUUUGUAUUCUUGAAUAAUUUUUUUUUAUUAAUUAUGUCCAUCCUGACUACUGUGUAAGAAAUUUCUAAUAGCCUCAAGCUUGCAAUUGUAGAACCGUAAGACAUGAAUGAAUUGUCCUCGUAAAGAAGUUGAGUCUAACGACAUCGUAUCUUAUAUUUUCUAACAAUUUGUUUGUUUUAACUUUGUGAUAACUCAUAUAUUUCAUAAAUUUUUACCAUCCAUUCCUAGUCUCUUUGUGAUAUUUUGGGUUAAAUUAGUUGUGUUUUACCCUCUUUUAUGUUAAUGUGCAGUUAAUUGUAUUUUAGAGUCCAUUUGGGGGCAAAUGAGGCAAAAUGGUGCUGAAAGUAGAGAAUUCAUUAAGGCCAGAUUCUGAUGUAGAGAGAGAUUGUGUACAAAUAUGGUGAUGAAUAUGGCCCUUUAAGAGACCAAUAACAGAAAGAAAAAAAAAACAUGUGAAAUAAAUGCUCAAUUAUUGCAAUGUCUUGGCAUCCUGUAGCAGCUUCUUUAGCACUUAAAUACUAGGUUUUACAUCACUUUUACACAAACCCCCUCUUGGAGACACUCAUAGCACUCUCUCUUCUCCUUCUUUGGCCUUUCUUUCAUAAACAAAAUCCUUUUUCCAUUCACCACCCGUUGCCACCAAAGAAACCUUGCAGCCACGCUGUUCUUAAAGGAGUUCCACAUCAAAAUUGUUUCAAGGGGUUUCUUAUAUGGAUUUAAUUUCACUAAUAUUCUUCGUAUCUAUAUGUGAUCAUGUUGAGUAACAAAGUUCAUAGCUGGAGAUUUCGAUGGAGCCUUGCAAAACUAUUCUAAGUUAUUAAGUUAAAGCAGUCAAUUUGUCAAUCUAUUUUCUUGUUUCAUUCACUAAUUUUAUAUUUUAAUUUGUUUGUUUAUCUUAAUGUUUGAUCACCAUUAGGGUUUCCUACAGAUUAUAUAAUCAAGGUUAUAGUAUACAUCAUACUUAAUCUUGGUGGAAAUGUGAAUGAAUGGAGAAGCUGCUAUGCAAACAUCAUGCCAUGUGAUUUCUUUGUUCUUUGAAGUUUUCUUGUUUCUAAUGAAUUCUUAAUUGGUAAUCUAAGUUGAAUAUCACAACUAGGUUGCAAAUUAGGAGUACUUGAUCACAACCACACAUCAAAUGGAUGAUCAUAAAUAAGUAAAACGAACCCCAGUUGCAGAUUGGAGAGUUGAAUACGUUUUGACUUCAUAAACACGCAAUUGGCUUGUAAUGGUGAAAUCGAGAUCCUUAGUUCCAAAUCAAUCUAUCAUUAAUAUUUAUAUUCUCUUGCAUUUUAAGCUUACCUUAGUUUUCCAAAACAAAAAUCCAAAUUCAGUUUGUAGUUUCACUGUUUAGUUAGGGUUCACAUAAAACUAGUAAUUUGUAGAGGUCUAAUCAGUCCUUGUGGUUUGACACCCUUAUUUGUGUCAUUAUAUGAUCCUUAUAUUUACACUUGAAAGGAACAAAACAUUUAGGAUGAGAGUUUUAAAAUCAACUAUUAUUUGUAGCCUAAUCAACUAUUAUUUGCAACCCUCCUUUUUGCCCUCCUCUUUGCCCUCCUUUUUCAUUUGACGAUUCAAACCAUAUUUCUUUGUACUUUUUUUUUUUAUAAUUUCAAUUUUUUUAGUGGUAAACCUGCUCUCUACCUCUCACAUAGUUGUAUCAUACAAUUCUUUGGAUUCUCUCUAUUAAAUUUAAUUGGACUUUUAGUUUUAUGAAAAUUACUUCAACUACUCAUGUUAUGGGUUCAUAAGCCUUGCUUCCCAUUGUAAUUUCCAUUGUAGCACAUGUGUGGCCCAACCCAUAUGGGCCAUGCGGACUUGACGCAUCCCCACCUUCCUCCAAUAUAUCAUUGGCAAUCCCUCGUGAGUGUGGCACGCACCUUUUUGUUUGUUUUGGAGCCAUUUUGGUGGGGCGUACUAAAUCACUACGUACCACAUCACCGGGCGGCUCGCCUGAAUGCCGAGUCUUUCUCUGCCACUAACUCAACGUCGUUGCCACCUGCUAGAUAAGGCCAAAAACUUGACUUUACUCAAUGAUGUGAAAAUUACUUGACACACAAAUUAAACCCUCUUUUUGACAAUUGUAGUAUAGAUGUAAGUAGGGUAUCGUUCUAGGCCGGGGAUUAGGAGGGAUUGCUAAUCUAUUCUAAAUUAAUUUAAAAAUAUUAAACAAGACUCAAGGACACAAAACUAGGCUAAAAACUCUAAUAACUCGAAACACACUUAGAAUGACUCAAAAUAAUGAAAACAAUCAAAUUAGACACUAGGAACUGAAAUGGACGGAAAUUGAAUUAAAAGACUAUCAACAAUGAAACUUACUAAAUAAUAUAAUUUAAUAAUGGGGGGGGAUUUGGUUUUGACGAGAAGUAAAUUAAACUUAAAUAAAUUACAGAAUUGACAAAAGCAUGAAAUUAAGGUGAAAGGAUAGGUGACGGACUAGCUAGAGGGUUAUUCUCCACACAUGACACAUAUGCAACCUAAAUUGAUUUUCAGUUGUUCUUUCAAUAAAUUGUGAAUGACAAUGUUCCAAGUUAAUUAGGUCCGCUUAAAUUAACUCUUAGAUUUCCCUAGAUUCAUUGGAUUGAAUGGAAUACGCAUUACAACCAAAUUAUUCCUCAUCAAAGUCCCUAACUAUGGAAUACGCAUGAUAGAGACAUUCAACAAAGAUCAUUAAGUUCAACGGAAAUCAUAAACAUUGACUAGGCAUUCAUAACUAUGGAAUACGCAUGUUAAUCCAGCCUAGAAUUUACUUAACGUGAUUGUGACUAGCAACCUUCACUACUUAUGAAUAUAAGUUUAUAACGAUUAGGUGAAAUUCACUUAUAUUCUAGCAUCAAAUUCAUGCAUGUAAAUUAAGCAUGCAUUCUUAAUCGACAUACAAAAAUAAGUUAUCAAUUAAGCAGUUAAGCAAAUUAAAUCACAACUUAUAAAUCACAACUGAAGGUAAUCAAUUCAUAUUACAAAUAUAUUCAUGGCUUUGAAUUAACCUCUAGCCAAAAUAAAUUUAGUUACAUAUUAUUAUCAAAUUAAACCAAAAGUAAAACAUAGGUUUGAGAAGAUAAAACCAAGAAAAAUGGAGUGAAACUUUGCUCUGUGUUGCUCCCGUUUCUGCUGGUCUCUGCCCUCUCUGACCUCUGGCUGGCUGCCUCUCUCCUCUCGCCUUCUUUCCUCUUGCAGUCCUCCUUUCCCACGUUUCCUGCUUCUUCUUUUCUCACGCUGCCAAGGGCAGCUUUUUGGACUCUCUGACCUCACGUUUCCUGCUUCUCGUGUUGCUCCCGUCUCUGCUUCUCUCCUGUUUUUCUGUGCAGCCUUCUGCUUCUCUCUCCCGCCACCUGUCUCUCAAGCUGCCAAAGGCAGCUUCUAUCCUGUUUCGCGCGCCUCCUCCCUUAUUCUGCCCGUCCGUUUCCACCUCUCUGACCUACUCUAUAUUUUUAAUUUCUUUUUCUUCCGCCCCCCGAGGCUCACGCUGCAAGCCAGCUUUUAUUCUCUCUGCCAAACACUUCUUUCUCCCCACUGUCUCCUUCAGUGUUUCUCCCACUUGUCCCCUUUAUUUCUAUUUUUUUUAUUUUCUUUUCAAACCACCCUCCACUGCUUCUUAUCCCGCACUCUUCUCUUUUUCUUUAUUUUCUUAUUCUAUUUCCUCCUUCCACCAGUCUGCCCGUGUCCUCCUCUUAUUCUUCUUUUAAUUUUUUUAUUCCUUCUUUUCUUUUUUUUUAUUGCCGUCCAACACUCUCCUAUAUUUCCCUUUUGUUAUUCUUCUCCAUCAUUCCAUGUCUCCCACUUCUUUGUCAUCUUUUUCUUUUUUUUUCAAUUCCAAUCUGCAAGUUGUCGUCAGCUAGACCUUCCCUUACUCAAAUGCCUAUAACUUCUUCUAGAAAAAUGAUAUUAACAAUCCGAGAAAUGUUCUAGAAAAUAGACAUCUGUAGCUUUCCAAGCAUAUAAAGCUCAUUCUCUAAUUCAUUCUGAGCUGUUCGCAACUUGCUCCCAAAGUCAGCUGAUCUACACAGACAGUUUUGACGAAUUUAUUACUUAAAAUUUCACUUGUUCUAUUUUUAUUUUCUUUGCUAGACAAAUCCUAUAAUACGCAAAAACAAAGUAAAUAGCUCAAAAAUAUAAGGAACUAACUAAGAAAAGACGAGUGAAUUUGAAGUAAAAAUAUAUAUAAAUAUGAUCCGAUCACUCAACAAGUGAGAAAACUGUUGGCUCCCCUUCUUACUGACAGCAUUGCUACUUGCUGGCACUCAAUUAGUAGUGCGGGCAUGUCACUCGGUUCCUUGGCUCACUUCGGUUCCAAAGACUUUCUCCUUAGGUGCAUGUCUCAGCAACACAAAAUGAGGGUUUCACUCAUUAUAGGACUUGACCAAACAUAUCAUCAUUACAUAUCUGAGAAACCCUCAUUCACAUACAAUUCUGGCUCCAUUACUGUCCCGAUCACAUUUAUUCAAACUCUAACUUGUAAUUUUGACACGAUAUUUUUCAAUAUUUUAUAAAAUAUUUAAAAUUCUAGCUCUUUCUGCCUCUAACUUGCCCAUGGCUCUCUCUCCUUGGCCCGAAUUGUGUCUUCCUCAUUGUGAAAGUAGAUGCAGCCUUUUUUUUUUAUUGAACAACUUUUAAUUUUUUUAUUUAAUCACUCUGAGUUUAGUUUUAAAUGAUUUUAAUUAAAAUUUAUAAAGUUUUUAAUAAUUUAUCCAUGUGGCAAUACAUGUGGGUUCAAAUAUGUACUACAUCAGCACACUAACUGAAAUUUUGAUGGAAUUCUAAUGGAAUGAUCACAUUGAUUUGCAACAUCAAUAUCCAAUGACUACAUUUAUUGAAUUUCAUUUUCAGGAACCAUCUUAAUGCUAAAAGUCAAUUUCAGGUACUACUUAUGAUAAAAACCCUAAAAAAAUUGAUACUAAUUUAGAACGACACUAAAAUAUUGAGGGUGUUUUAGAUAUUAACAAAAGAUAGGAACAAACAACCAAACAAAUAGAGGCAGAUAGUAUUUCCGACUUAUUAAGUUACAAAUUAAGAAAAGAACUUAUAAAGAGAGUUGUGGCUAAUUAAGGGGAGGCUUCAUUCUGAUUUUAUAGCAGUAACCAACUGAUCAUAUAAGCUUCUCUCCAUGCAUUCUUCAUCUCCGGUGACCACAUUUCCGGUAAGGCCUCCUUUAUGGUUUCCAACAAUGCGAACUUGGUCACCUAUAUAUAAAAUAAAUUGUUCGCUAAGGCACAUAUUUGGAAAAGAAGAAUUCGAACUCAAAACUUCGCGUGCAAGGACAAACAUUAGCAUAUACCUCAUAAUGUUCAUCUACCACUCCAGACAUGAAGUGGACACCACCUAAUCUUUUCAAGGUUGACUCUCUCACUGUAACCUUGCCUGCUUUCCUGAGUUGAACUGCAGAUUCACAAGUCUGGAACACAAAUGAAGGAUUAGUGAUCGAACCCAAGUUAAUUAUAAUUAACUCCACACUAGCGGCUUAAUUAUAUUUACC